UACAGAGGGUGCAAGCGUUGUUCGGAAUUAUUGGGCGUAAAGGGAGUGUAGGCGGUUUCCUAAGUCUUCUGUGAAAUCUACGGGCUUAGCCUGUAACGUGCAGAGGAAACUGGGAGACUUGAGUGUCGGAGAGGAUAGGGGAAUACCCGGUGUAGAGGUGAAAUUCGUAGAGAUCGGGUGGAACACCAGUGGCGAAGGCAGUUAACUAUUCUAUUCCUGACAUUGAGGCAUGAAAGCGUGGGGAGCAAAACGG
This 253-nucleotide ribosomal RNA is filed under the name uncultured bacterium. Its description in RNAcentral is "partial 16S ribosomal RNA". It matches the Rfam family "Bacterial small subunit ribosomal RNA", at positions 524 to 776 of the family's 1533-position model. The record is from RNAcentral.